RNAcentral lists this transfer RNA (102 nucleotides) under Karstenula rhodostoma CBS 690.94. It matches the Rfam family "tRNA". Rfam says of the family: Transfer RNA (tRNA) molecules are approximately 80 nucleotides in length. Their secondary structure includes four short double-helical elements and three loops (D, anti-codon, and T loops). Lineage: Eukaryota; Fungi; Ascomycota; Dothideomycetes; Pleosporales; Didymosphaeriaceae. The record is from Rfam by way of RNAcentral.
GGCUCAAUGGUCUAGUGGUAUGAUUGUCGCUUCGGGAUUUUACGCCUGGAUCCAUUGGAUCUAAUAUGUGACAGGCCCCGGGUUCGAAUCCCGGUUGAGCCC